GACGAACGCUGGCGGCGUGGAUUAGGCAUGCAAGUCGAACGGUAGGAUACCUUCGGGUAUCUGAGAGUGGCGAACGGGUGAGUAACACGUAGGUGAUCUACCCUCAAGAUUGGGACAACCCAGGGAAACUUGGGCUAAUACCGGAUGAAAGCAGCAGUGAUGUUGUUUGAAAGGUGGCGUAAGCUGCCGUUUGGGGAUGAGCCUGCGCUCUAUUAGUUAGUUGGCGGGGUAAAGGCCCACCAAGGCGAUGAUAGAUAGGCGGCCUUAACGGGUGGUCGCCCACACUGGGAUUGAGAUACGGCCCAGACUCCUACGGGAGGCAGCAGUCGAGAAUAGUCUACAAUGGCCGAAAGGCUGAUAGUGCGACGCCGCGUGAACGAAGAAGCCCUUCGGGUGUAAAGUUCUUUUAUUAUGUGAGCAGUGCUUUCUAUGUGAACAGCAUGGGGAGAGAGAUAUUAGCAUAUGAAUAAGCAACGGCUAACUCCGUGCCAGC
RNAcentral lists this ribosomal RNA (493 nucleotides) under uncultured bacterium. RNAcentral's name for it is "bacterial SSU rRNA". It matches the Rfam family "Bacterial small subunit ribosomal RNA", at positions 28 to 512 of the family's 1533-position model. The record is from RNAcentral.